GUGAACAUAGUUUAACUAAAAUUUUAGUUUGUGGUACUGAAGAUAGAAGCUAAAAACUUCUUGUUCACC
Molecule: transfer RNA, 69 nt
Filed under: Apogonichthyoides taeniatus (twobelt cardinal)
Lineage: Eukaryota; Metazoa; Chordata; Actinopteri; Kurtiformes; Apogonidae
Description: tRNA-His
Rfam family: tRNA
About the family: Transfer RNA (tRNA) molecules are approximately 80 nucleotides in length.
Source: RNAcentral